Molecule: long non-coding RNA, 275 nt
Filed under: Elaeis guineensis (African oil palm)
Lineage: Eukaryota; Viridiplantae; Streptophyta; Magnoliopsida; Arecales; Arecaceae
Description: long non-coding RNA (EGUI_LNC034909)
Source: RNAcentral
GAGCUCUCGAGGAGAGAGCGAUCAUGCGGCUAGCUCGUAUGGUUCUACACCUCUCUCAUCGGGUGGUAAGCUCUAACACUUAAUUUAUAUAUUUUUAUUUAUAUUAUUUUAUCAUUUGUUAACUAAUAUCAUAUUUUUUGUAUUAGAUGUUUUGUGCUCAGAUUCAGAAGAUAGGGGGUCACUAGUGAUCCCACAGUCACAUGCAGUAGCAACCGCUGGCUCUCAGACACAGCACCGUGAUCGAGCUCAUGGCUGUUAGAAAAUCAAAAAGACAA